This 273-nucleotide ribosomal RNA is filed under the name uncultured bacterium. Its description in RNAcentral is "partial 16S ribosomal RNA". It matches the Rfam family "Bacterial small subunit ribosomal RNA", at positions 524 to 796 of the family's 1533-position model. The record is from RNAcentral.
CACGUAGGUGGCGAGCGUUGUCCGGAUUUACUGGGCGUAAAGAGCGCGCAGGCGGCUGGUCAAGUCCGAUGUGAAAUCUCCCGGCUUAACUGGGAAACUGCAUUGGAAACUGAUCGGCUUGAAGAUGGGAGAGGGUAGUGGAAUUCCCGGUGUAGUGGUGAAAUGCGUAGAUAUCGGGAGGAACACCAGUGGCGAAGGCGACUACCUGGCCCAUUCUUGACGCUGAGGCGCGAAAGCUAGGGGAGCAAACGGGAUUAGAUACCCCCGUAGUCC